Molecule: ribosomal RNA, 467 nt
Filed under: uncultured bacterium
Lineage: Bacteria
Description: partial 16S ribosomal RNA
Rfam family: Bacterial small subunit ribosomal RNA
Source: RNAcentral
GACGAACGCUGGCGGCGUGCUUAACACAUGCAAGUCGAACGGAAAGGCCCUGCUUUUGUGGGGUGCUCGAGUGGCGAACGGGUGAGUAACACGUGAGUAACCUGCCCUUGACUUUGGGAUAACUUCAGGAAACUGGGGCUAAUACCGGAUAGGAGCUCCUGCUGCAUGGUGGGGGUUGGAAAGUUUCGGCGGUUGGGGAUGGACUCGCGGCUUAUCAGCUUGUUGGUGGGGUAGUGGCUUACCAAGGCUUUGACGGGUAGCCGGCCUGAGAGGGUGACCGGCCACAUGGGGACUGAUAUACGGCCCAGACUCCUACGGGAGGCAGCAGUGGGGAAUAUUGCACAAUGGGCGGAAGCCUGAUGCAGCAACGCCGCGUGCGGGAUGACGGCCUUCGGGUGGUAAACCGCUUUCGCCUGUGACGAAGCGUGAGUGACGGGAAUGGGGAAAGAAGCACCGGCUAACUACGU